Molecule: ribosomal RNA, 396 nt
Filed under: Triticum aestivum (bread wheat)
Lineage: Eukaryota; Viridiplantae; Streptophyta; Magnoliopsida; Poales; Poaceae
Description: partial small subunit ribosomal RNA
Source: RNAcentral
AAGAGGAGAGGAUGGCCAAAUCGCGACAAAUGUUCACUCUGCAGUCAGGUGCAAGAAUAUGCAGCACACCUGCUCUUCAAGUGCCGCUUCUCUGUUCGGAUUUGGAAUGUUGUCUUCUCACGGCUUGGGCUUGUUAUCCCCACGACCCCGUGGCUUCUCUUCGAUUCGUUGAAAUCUUGGUGGGAUGCGGUCCUCUCUGAUAAAGCACACCCGACGAAGGCCCUGUCUUCUCUGUUACUACUUGUGGGAUGGGAGAUCUAGAAUGAAAAGAAUGCUCGUGUCUUCAGGAAUAAAGCGGCGCCGGUGGUGACUGUCAUGCGACGCGUCAAAGAGGAAGUUUCUAUUUGGGCCACUGUGGGCGCUAAGCAUUUGCACAAUAUAAUGCCGCGAAAGUAA